UCCCUCUCGGGGUGGCACCUGGAGAGUUUCCAGUACUCUACCAGUCUCAGCUGUGGGAGGAAGAAUCAAGCAGAGACCUACUCACUCUAUUCCUAGCUUGGUCAGUGGCUAGCGAGUGGAAGGCGAUCUGCUACAAGU
This 138-nucleotide small nucleolar RNA is filed under the name Ornithorhynchus anatinus (platypus). Lineage: Eukaryota; Metazoa; Chordata; Mammalia; Monotremata; Ornithorhynchidae. The record is from RNAcentral.